This 579-nucleotide ribosomal RNA is filed under the name Alternaria alternata. RNAcentral describes it as "eukaryotic LSU rRNA". The stretch from base 225 to 378 matches the Rfam family "5.8S ribosomal RNA". Lineage: Eukaryota; Fungi; Ascomycota; Dothideomycetes; Pleosporales; Pleosporaceae. The record is from RNAcentral.
UUAGAGGAAGUAAAAGUCGUAGCAAGGUCUCCGUAGGUGAACCUGCGGAGGGAUCAUUACACAAAUAUGAAGGCGGGCUGGAACCUCUCGGGGUUACAGCCUUGCUGAAUUAUUCACCCUUGUCUUUUGCGUACUUCUUGUUUCCUUGGUGGGUUCGCCCACCACUAGGACAAACAUAAACCUUUUGUAAUUGCAAUCAGCGUCAGUAACAAAUUAAUAAUUACAACUUUCAACAACGGAUCUCUUGGUUCUGGCAUCGAUGAAGAACGCAGCGAAAUGCGAUAAGUAGUGUGAAUUGCAGAAUUCAGUGAAUCAUCGAAUCUUUGAACGCACAUUGCGCCCUUUGGUAUUCCAAAGGGCAUGCCUGUUCGAGCGUCAUUUGUACCCUCAAGCUUUGCUUGGUGUUGGGCGUCUUGUCUCUAGCUUUGCUGGAGACUCGCCUUAAAGUAAUUGGCAGCCGGCCUACUGGUUUCGGAGCGCAGCACAAGUCGCACUCUCUAUCAGCAAAGGUCUAGCAUCCAUUAAGCCUUUUUUUCAACUUUUGACCUCGGAUCAGGUAGGGAUACCCGCUGAACUUAA